This 306-nucleotide ribosomal RNA is filed under the name Clostridium saccharobutylicum. RNAcentral describes it as "partial 23S ribosomal RNA". It matches the Rfam family "Bacterial large subunit ribosomal RNA", at positions 1 to 311 of the family's 2925-position model. The record is from RNAcentral. Lineage: Bacteria; Bacillati; Bacillota; Clostridia; Eubacteriales; Clostridiaceae.
GGUCAAGCUACAAAGGGCGCAUGGUGAAUGCCUUGGCAUCAGGAGCCGAUGAAGGACGUGAUAAGCUGCGAUAAGCUUCGGGUAGGCGCACAUAGCCAGAGAUCCGGAGAUUUCCGAAUGAGGGAACUCACAUGGGAAACCCCAUGUAUCAUAAAGUGAAUACAUAGCUUUAUGAAGGUAAACCUAGGGAACUGAAACAUCUAAGUACCUAGAGGAAGAGAAAGAAAAAUCGAUUUUCUUAGUAGCGGCGAGCGAAAAGGAAAGAGCCCAAACCAGAGAUUUAUCUCUGGGGUUGCGGACAGAACA